GAUGAACGCUGGCGGCGUGCCUAAUACAUGCAAGUCGAGCGAACAGACGAGGAGCUUGCUCCUUUGACGUUAGCGGCGGACGGGUGAGUAACACGUGGGUAACCUACCUAUAAGACUGGGAUAACUUCGGGAAACCGGAGCUAAUACCGGAUAAUAUUUCGAACCGCAUGGUUCGAUAGUGAAAGAUGGCUUUGCUAUCACUUAUAGAUGGACCUGCGCCGUAUUAGCUAGUUGGUAAGGUAACGGCUUACCAAGGCAACGAUACGUAGCCGACCUGAGAGGGUGAUCGGCCAAACUGGAAAUGAGACACGGUCCAGACUCCUACGGGAGGCAGCAGUAGGGAAUCUUCCGCAAUGGGCGAAAGCCUGACGGAGCAACGCCGCGUGAGUGAUGAAGGUCUUCGGAUCGUAAAACUCUGUUAUUAGGGAAGAACAAACGUGGAAGUAACUGUGCACGUCUUGACGGUACCUAAUCAGAAAGCCACGGCUAAAUACGUG
Molecule: ribosomal RNA, 497 nt
Filed under: uncultured bacterium
Lineage: Bacteria
Description: partial 16S ribosomal RNA
Rfam family: Bacterial small subunit ribosomal RNA
Source: RNAcentral